This 400-nucleotide ribosomal RNA is filed under the name uncultured bacterium. Its description in RNAcentral is "bacterial SSU rRNA". It matches the Rfam family "Bacterial small subunit ribosomal RNA", at positions 355 to 772 of the family's 1533-position model. The record is from RNAcentral.
CAAGGAAUUUUCCCCAAUGGGCUCACGCCUGAGGGAGCAACGCCGCGUGGGGGAUGACGGCCUUCGGGUUGUAAACUCCUUUUGGGUGGGAUGAUAAUGACAGUACCAUCCGAAUAAGCCCCGGCUAACUCCGUGCCAGCAGCCGCGGUAAGACGGAGGGGGCAAGCGUUGUCCGGACUCACUGGGCGUAAAGCGCACGUAGGCGGUUGUGUGCGUCGCUGCUGAAAGCGCCAGGCUUAACCUGGCGAGGCGUGGCGAUACGACAUAACUCGAGGCAGGCAGAGGGUGGCGGAAUUCCGGGUGUAGUGGUGAAAUGCGUAGAGAUCCGGAGGAACGCCUGUGGCGCAAGCGGCCACCUGGGCCUGACCUGACGCUGAGGUGCGAAAGCGUGGGGAGCAAA